UACGUAGGGAGCGAGCGUUGUCCGGAAUUACUGGGUGUAAAGGGAGCGUAGGCGGGACGGCAAGUCAGAUGUGAAAACUAUGGGCUCAACUCAUAGACUGCAUUUGAAACUGUUGUUCUUGAGUGAGGUAGAGGUAAGCGGAAUUCCUGGUGUAGCGGUGAAAUGCGUAGAGAUCAGGAGGAACAUCGGUGGCGAAGGCGGCUUACUGGGCCUUUACUGACGCUGAGGCUCGAAAGCGUGGGGAGCAAACAGG
RNAcentral lists this ribosomal RNA (253 nucleotides) under Ruminococcus callidus. Its description in RNAcentral is "partial 16S ribosomal RNA". It matches the Rfam family "Bacterial small subunit ribosomal RNA", at positions 524 to 776 of the family's 1533-position model. Lineage: Bacteria; Bacillati; Bacillota; Clostridia; Eubacteriales; Oscillospiraceae. The record is from RNAcentral.